ACAUAUCUGCAGUGUUUGUUUGCUGCAAGUAACAAACAAAAUAAUCCCAAAUCAAAUAAUGGGAACUAAAGUUUAUAAAGAAAAUGCUACAUUCACCAAAGGUGAUUAUGGUAAAAUAAAAUGAAAAUGGAAGAAAAAAAGGGUUAAUGAAUUUGAUUGUUUUGUUUUUGUAGGAUUUCAGUAUGGGAUUUUGCAUUAAGAUUCAAAGCCAAACGAAAUGAAGAUGAAUCUUACUAUUAUUUUCUCAAUAUGGGAUUUUGCAUUUUGGCACAAUUAAGAGAUGGCAUGGUACAUAAUGAAACACCAACUCAAUUUAAUUCAUCUUGCUAUAUUCUCUAAGCCUUUGGGUUCAGAAACUACAGAACAUUCUUAUCCAAAAUCAUAACUUGUGCAAUUGAAAGUUUUCCUUACAGGCAGGACAUUUUUGUAAGAAUCAAAAUCACAACUUGUGCAAUUAUGUUAUUGUACAUACUAAACCCCAAAUCAAUGUAAUGAAAAGUAGAUUGAAUUGCCAAAAUAGAGAAGCUCAACCCUGAUAAAUUGGAGCUACAUCUAAGUAAGAAGCAUGAAAGAAAAACAAAUGGAGGAGCCCCUAACCCCUACCCAAGAAAAAAGAGCCUAAAAGAACUAAAAAUCAGACAGAAGGACCCUUUCAGACCAAGUUCCGAUCAAGUCAAAGGUUUAAUCACAUAACAUCUCCCCCCACUUGCAUUAGCUCCAUCUGUGAUUGCACGAAUAAAAAGCCAUUUCAUAUAUGACGCAUACUUGCAUGCUUGGAUCCGGCCAUUUGAAUGG
This 795-nucleotide unclassified non-coding RNA is filed under the name Hevea brasiliensis (rubber tree). The record is from RNAcentral. Lineage: Eukaryota; Viridiplantae; Streptophyta; Magnoliopsida; Malpighiales; Euphorbiaceae.